RNAcentral lists this ribosomal RNA (303 nucleotides) under alpha proteobacterium R2A84. RNAcentral's name for it is "bacterial SSU rRNA". It matches the Rfam family "Bacterial small subunit ribosomal RNA", at positions 41 to 372 of the family's 1533-position model. The record is from RNAcentral. Lineage: Bacteria; Pseudomonadati; Pseudomonadota; Alphaproteobacteria.
GGCAGGCCYAACACAUGCAAGUCGAGCGCACUCUUCGGAGUGAGCGGCGGACGGGUUAGUAACGCGUGGGAACAUACCCUUUUCUACGGAAUAGCCUCGGGAAACUGAGAGUAAUACCGUAUACGCCCUUCGGGGGAAAGAUUUAUCGGUGAAGGAUUGGCCCGCGUAAGAUUAGAUAGUUGGUGGGGUAAUGGCCUACCAAGUCUACGAUCUUUAGCUGGUUUGAGAGGAUGAUCAGCAACACUGGGACUGAGACACGGCCCAGACUCCUACGGGAGGCAGCAGUGGGGAAUCUUAGACAAU